This is a non-coding RNA of Odocoileus virginianus texanus, 2226 nucleotides long. NCBI's taxonomy places the organism in Eukaryota, Metazoa, Chordata, Mammalia, Artiodactyla, Cervidae. The record is from RefSeq and is a predicted model, not a curated record.
AAAGAAACAUUAAAGUUGUUUGUCUUUCUUUAAUUUUUAAUGGUUUUCCUUUUGGAUCCAAACGAGCAUCUAUGUUACAGGAUAUCCUCCUGGUCAACAUGCAGUGCUGAACUCCGGCUUUGGGUGAGAUGCACCGAUACUGUGGGCAGGCCAGCACUGGCUGCCAGUCACACACGGUCACUGAAGGGGAGUCAGGCUGGCAUGCCGCACUGCAGUGGAUGCUGCCUGUAAGGAAGCAUCUGGAGUGCCUUGACACUCACAUGUGUUGUAACACAGGUGGCAGCGUUUUAACAGCCUAAGGCAGAGCACCCAGGUUCCCUCUCGAUCCCAUCUGAUGUGCGCAUCCUCUAAGAGCAAACCAAGGGGGGGAUGUCCUGACCUUGGAUCCCAAAGGACAGAGGGUAUGACCUGGACACCCUGUUGUCCACUUCUUGCAACGUUAUCCUCUGAGGCUACUAGCAGAGUGCCGUGUGGAGUAUGACAUUUAAUCAUGAUAAAGCUCCUCUCCUGUGCCACUCACCGCCCCUCCUCCCUUUCCCCUCCCCUCCUCCAUCUCCCCUCCCAUGACACUUGUGCCACUAGGAACAACGAAAUCUGUCCACUGUUGGCACUACUUUAUUGAAGAGCAGCUAAAGUCACUGAGAUUGUCUUCAGGCUGCUUGAAAGCAAGAACCUCCUUUCUCUCCAUCUCCCAAGUCCGGAAAAACUUUUUCAGGGCUAUAUGAAUCCCCCGAGGCCUUUAAAUCCACUACCUAGAGUGGAAAGAAGCCAUCUCUAGUACCAUGCUAACGAGUUGAUCCGUGAUCUGGCAUAAAUGAGGAUCCCAGGUCACAUGCCUUCCUCUUUCUGGGACCAGUUGGUGUUUCCCACCUUAACCUUGUCUUUGUUAUAGAGCUUGUUUUCCUCACCUCUACCCCACUAGUCCUAGCUAUGAGAUGCUCUGCACACUAACUGCUUUAGAUUUUUCUCCUCCAUUUGUUUUUAUGUGUGAGUUCCAAAUCAUGUACUCAGUUGAGUGGAGCUGGCUGGACAGCUCUCUAAUGUCACCAAGAGGGAGGUUCCUCUGCAAUCAACAGCACUUAGGGUGGCUUUGUAUAAAUUUUGGCUUGGUGACAAAACCCCAGGAUAGAAAAACACUGAUUGAUGUUUGGCCUGCAGGCUAAGUACAUAUCUCCAUUGGUAGCCAUUAAAAUACAAUACCUAUGUUGUUACUAAAUCUGUUGGGAUCUGCUUAACGCUAUAUAGCUCCAUAUCAAAUGUAACUAAGACCAGACUACAGUAGACUUUAAUUGGCAGUUAGAUUACAUUAUUUAGCCCUCAUUUCCUGUUACCUUUAUUUUUAAAAGUUGAUUAAUGGCACUUUGAAGUUUUGGAGUGUUUUUUCCUGCUCAUCCCUUAUCAAGGUAUCUAAUAGACUUGCUUUGAGUGGUGGUUCUCAGUGUGAUGCAGGCCAUCGCUAAGAGAAAUUAGAGUGUUGGAAAGCAAACUGAGUCACCAGAGAAGGUCAAAGUUGAAUUUGGUAGCUUUGACUUAGUCCCCUUGCAGGUGGGGGGGUCCUGCCCUGAGUGAACCAAGAAGGAAGUGGUACUGCCUGGUAUACAUUCUAGAACCUGGUCCAGAACACAGAGAAUAAUCCAUUCUUAUCUCUGACAAACUUCAGAACACACACACAGAGAAAGCUCCGUCCAGAUUUCCAGUGCUGAGUAGGAGAAGAUGUCUCAGGAGGAUCCUACGUGUUAGCUUGAGAGACCUCAUUUCCCUGCAGUGGGCAUUCGUCGAGUAUGUGGACAUUUCAUACACACCAGCAGUUCUACAGCUCAUACUGUUUCAGAUCAUCUCAGGAGUAAUCACCAGAAGGGCAAAUGCAGGCUAAAGGAUAAGGAACCUGAUUUCUUGGUCAGGGGAAGUGGAAUAAAAGAGAUGCUUGUAUCCUGACAGACUGAUCCUCAACCACACACCAGCUGCAGAAGCGGCCCGUCCGAGGGUCCCUCCCUCACAGGAACACCUCAGUAAACUGAUUCUCUCAUCGAAGCAUCUCUGGUUUUGGCCUUUCUCAUCUCUACGGAAGUCCCCAGCAGCAAAGAGGCAGAACUAUGGCAGUGCCCAUCUUGCAAAGGGAAAUACAGCGAUUUGGAGGUCGCUGACAGCUCCGCACGUCAUGCCCGGUCCAGGCCCCCCGCGCCUCCGCCGCCGAUAGUGCCCGUUGGGCAUCUGCCAGCUGUGCCG